This 252-nucleotide ribosomal RNA is filed under the name uncultured Bacteroidales bacterium. RNAcentral describes it as "partial 16S ribosomal RNA". It matches the Rfam family "Bacterial small subunit ribosomal RNA", at positions 524 to 776 of the family's 1533-position model. The record is from RNAcentral. Lineage: Bacteria; Pseudomonadati; Bacteroidota; Bacteroidia; Bacteroidales.
UACGGAGGAUGCGAGCGUUAUCCGGAUUUAUUGGGUUUAAAGGGUGCGUAGGCGGCGAGUUAAGUCAGCGGUCAAAGCCCGGGGCUCAACCCCGGCCCGCCGUUGAAACUGGCAGUCUCGAGUUGGAGAGAAGUAUGCGGAAUGCGCAGUGUAGCGGUGAAAUGCUUAGAUAUUGCGCAGAACCCCGAUUGCGAAGGCAGCGUACCGGCUCCACACUGACGCUGAGGCACGAAAGCGUGGGUAUCGAACAGG